UACGGAGGGUGCAAGCGUUAUCCGGAUUCACUGGGUUUAAAGGGUGCGUAGGCGGGUAGGUAAGUCAGUGGUGAAAUCUUCGAGCUCAACUCGGAAAUUGCCGUUGAUACUAUUUAUCUUGAAUAUCGUUGAGGUUUGCGGAAUAUGUCAUGUAGCGGUGAAAUGCUUAGAGAUGACAUAGAACACCUAUUGCGAAGGCA
RNAcentral lists this ribosomal RNA (200 nucleotides) under uncultured bacterium. Its description in RNAcentral is "partial 16S ribosomal RNA". It matches the Rfam family "Bacterial small subunit ribosomal RNA", at positions 524 to 723 of the family's 1533-position model. The record is from RNAcentral.